AAUGCACCUUGCGCUCCUUGGUAUUCCGAGGAGCAUGCCUGUUUGAGUGUCAUCAAAACAUCAGAUCGAAGCUUUCGACCUCAUCAGAGCUCGGUUUGGACUUAUGGGAGUCUGCGGGCGAACCUCCCGUCGGGGGGACGUCGGCUCUCCUCAAAAGCAUUAGCGUUGGGUGCGAGCCUCGCGUGGCACGGCCUCUUCGACGUCAUAAUGACCGUCAUGGGCUGGAAGUGCGUGGACUCUGCGAGCCCGGUCCGUCCAGCCGCGUGUUAUCGAAGCUUGACCUCAAAUCAGGUAGGACUACCCGCUGAACUUAA
RNAcentral lists this unclassified non-coding RNA (314 nucleotides) under uncultured Scleroderma. RNAcentral's name for it is "sequence contains ITS2". The record is from RNAcentral. Lineage: Eukaryota; Fungi; Basidiomycota; Agaricomycetes; Boletales; Sclerodermataceae.